GCACCCAUAGCUCAGCUGGAUAGAGUGUUGCCCUCCGAAGGCAAAGGUCAGAGGUUCGAAUCCUCUUGGGUGCGCCA
RNAcentral lists this transfer RNA (77 nucleotides) under Hyphomonas sp. Its description in RNAcentral is "tRNA-Arg". It matches the Rfam family "tRNA". From Rfam's summary of the family: Transfer RNA (tRNA) molecules are approximately 80 nucleotides in length. Their secondary structure includes four short double-helical elements and three loops (D, anti-codon, and T loops). RNAcentral also lists the same sequence under 2 other names. Lineage: Bacteria; Pseudomonadati; Pseudomonadota; Alphaproteobacteria; Hyphomonadales; Hyphomonadaceae. The record is from RNAcentral.